This 392-nucleotide unclassified non-coding RNA is filed under the name soil metagenome. Its description in RNAcentral is "partial contains 5.8S ribosomal RNA, internal transcribed spacer 2, and large subunit ribosomal RNA". The stretch from base 1 to 122 matches the Rfam family "5.8S ribosomal RNA", at positions 35 to 154 of the family's 154-position model. The record is from RNAcentral.
GAUGAAGAACGUAGCGAAAUGCGAUACUUGGUGUGAAUUGCAGAAUCCCGUGAACCAUCGAGUCUUUGAACGCAAGUUGCGCCCGAAGCCAUUAGGCCGAGGGCACGCCUGCCUGGGCGUCACACGUCGUUGCCCCCCCCAUCUACUCCUUCGGGAUUGCGGGGGGCGGAUGAUGGCCUCCCGUGCGCCUCGCCGCGCGGUUGGCAUAAAUGCCAAGUCCUCGGCGACGCACGCCACGACAAUCGGUGGUUGCGAAACCUCGGUUGCCCGUCGUGUGCGGUCGUCGCGCAUCGAGGGCUCGAAAAAAUUGCCGAGUUCCGGCUCGGCUUUCAACGCGAACCCAGGUCAGGCGGGGUUACCCGCUGAAUUUAAGCAUAUCAAUAAGCGGAGGA